Molecule: long non-coding RNA, 622 nt
Filed under: Gossypium raimondii (Peruvian cotton)
Lineage: Eukaryota; Viridiplantae; Streptophyta; Magnoliopsida; Malvales; Malvaceae
Description: long non-coding RNA (GRAI_LNC007301)
Source: RNAcentral
UUAAAAAUUACUCAAUUACCAAGUCGUGCACAUCCAUUAACUCAAUUAAUGGUCUAAUUACAUAUAAGGACCUCCCAUUUAAAUUUCUAUAGCUAUUUAAUACUUUUAGCUAAUAGAACACAACUUUUGCAUUUUACGCGAUUUAGCCUUUUUUCAUAGUUUGAGCAUGCAAACGAUAAAAUUUCUCAACGAAAUUUUUAUACUGCUAUAUUAUCGUGCUGUAGAUAUUAAAAUAAUAUUAAAAUAAAUUUUUGACAUUAGAUUUGUGGUCCAAAAAAUACUAUUCUGAUUUCACUGAAAACGGGCCGUUACAACUCUCCCCCUUUAGGAAUUUUCGUCCCCGAAAAUCUUACUAGAAAAUAGGUCAGGAUAUUGUAUUAUUCUCAUAGCUUUCUCGAGUUCCCAAAUAGCCUUCUCAAUCCCAUGACGAUGCCAAAUAACUUUCACCAAGGCUAUUUUUUUGUUUCUUAAUUCUUUGAUCUCUCGUGCCAUAAUUCUGAUUGGUUCUUCAUUAUACGACAUGUCAGGCUGAAUCUCAACCUUUUUCAGAGAAAUUAUAUGCGAAGGAUUAGGUCCGUACCGUCGUAACAUAGACACAUGAAACACAUUACGAAUAUUUUCC